This 131-nucleotide ribosomal RNA is filed under the name uncultured bacterium. RNAcentral's name for it is "partial 16S ribosomal RNA". It matches the Rfam family "Bacterial small subunit ribosomal RNA", at positions 377 to 525 of the family's 1533-position model. The record is from RNAcentral.
GAAACUCUGAUGCAGCAACGCCGCGUGGAGGAUGACGCAUUUCGGUGUGUAAACUCCUUUUAUAAGGGAAGAUAAUGACGGUACCUUAUGAAUAAGCACCGGCUAACUCCGUGCCAGCAGCCGCGGUAAUA